This is a non-coding RNA of Phthorimaea operculella (potato tuberworm), 72 nucleotides long. Lineage: Eukaryota; Metazoa; Arthropoda; Insecta; Lepidoptera; Gelechiidae. The record is from the annotation of a GenBank genome assembly.
GCAUCGAUAGCUCAGUGGCAGAGCAGUGGGUAGGUACGCGACCGGUCCCGGGCUCGAUUUCCGGUCGAAGCU